This 256-nucleotide ribosomal RNA is filed under the name uncultured soil bacterium. RNAcentral describes it as "partial 16S ribosomal RNA". It matches the Rfam family "Bacterial small subunit ribosomal RNA", at positions 26 to 278 of the family's 1533-position model. The record is from RNAcentral.
AGGAUGAACGCUGGCGGCGUGCUUAACACAUGCAAGUCGAACGAUGAAGGCUGGAGCUUGCUCUGGCUGGAUUAGUGGCGAACGGGUGAGUAACACGUGAGUAACCUGCCCCAGACUCUGGGAUAAGCGCUGGAAACGGCGUCUAAUACCGGAUACGAGCUUCCACCGCAUGGUGAGGAGCUGGAAAGAAUUUCGGUCUGGGAUGGACUCGCGGCCUAUCAGCUUGUUGGUGAGGUAAUGGCUCACCAAGGCGACG